This 497-nucleotide ribosomal RNA is filed under the name uncultured bacterium. RNAcentral's name for it is "partial 16S ribosomal RNA". It matches the Rfam family "Bacterial small subunit ribosomal RNA", at positions 28 to 507 of the family's 1533-position model. The record is from RNAcentral.
GAUGAACGCUGGCGGCGUGCCUAAUACAUGCAAGUCGAGCGAACAGAUGAGGAGCUUGCUCCUCUGACGUUAGCGGCGGACGGGUGAGUAACACGUGGAUAACCUACCUAUAAGACUGGGAUAACUUCGGGAAACCGGAGCUAAUACCGGAUAAUAUAUUGAACCGCAUGGUUCAAUAGUGAAAGACGGUUUUGCUGUCACUUAUAGAUGGAUCCGCGCCGCAUUAGCUAGUUGGUAAGGUAACGGCUUACCAAGGCGACGAUGCGUAGCCGACCUGAGAGGGUGAUCGGCCACACUGGAACUGAGACACGGUCCAGACUCCUACGGGAGGCAGCAGUAGGGAAUCUUCCGCAAUGGGCGAAAGCCUGACGGAGCAACGCCGCGUGAGUGAUGAAGGUCUUCGGAUCGUAAAACUCUGUUAUUAGGGAAGAACAAAUGUGUAAGUAACUAUGCACGUCUUGACGGUACCUAAACAGAAAGCCACGGCUAACUACGUG